Molecule: transfer RNA, 70 nt
Filed under: Chlamydosaurus kingii (frilled dragon)
Lineage: Eukaryota; Metazoa; Chordata; Lepidosauria; Squamata; Agamidae
Description: tRNA-Ser
Rfam family: tRNA
About the family: Transfer RNA (tRNA) molecules are approximately 80 nucleotides in length.
Source: RNAcentral
UAAGAGAGAAGCUAAGUGGAUAUGCGAUUGGUUUGAAACCAGUUAUAGGGGGUUCGAGUCCUUCCUUUCU